CCUACGGGUGGCAGCAGUGGGGAAUAUUGGACAAUGGGCGAAACCCUGAUGCAGCGACGCCGCGUGAGUGAAGAAGUCUCUCGGUAUGUAAAGCUCUUUUAGCAGGGAAGAAAAUGACGGUACCUGACUAAGAAGCCCCGGCUCACUACAUGACAGCAGCCGCGCUAAUACGUAGGGGGCAAGCGUUAUCCGGAUUUACUGGGUGUAAAGGGAGCGUAGACGGCGCUGCAAGUCCGGAGUGAAAGCCGAGGGCUUAACCAUGGUACUGCAGUGGAAACUGUGGAUCUUGAGUGCGGGAGGGGCAGGCGGAAUGCGUGGUGUAGCGGUGAAAUGCGUAGAUAUUAGGCAGAACACCGGCGGCGAAGGCGGCCUGCUGGACCAUAACUGACGUUGAGGCUCGAAAGCGUGGGGAGCAAACAGGAUUAGAUACCCCAGUAGUC
RNAcentral lists this ribosomal RNA (440 nucleotides) under uncultured bacterium. Its description in RNAcentral is "partial 16S ribosomal RNA". It matches the Rfam family "Bacterial small subunit ribosomal RNA", at positions 338 to 795 of the family's 1533-position model. The record is from RNAcentral.